CGCAAAAUGGCUGAGUUAUAGGCGGUAGAUUGUAGAUCUUUUUACGGGAUGGAUUUUGUUCUCUUUUGUGA
RNAcentral lists this transfer RNA (71 nucleotides) under Nemertopsis sp. WYS-2013. RNAcentral's name for it is "tRNA-Tyr". Lineage: Eukaryota; Metazoa; Nemertea; Enopla; Monostilifera; Emplectonematidae. The record is from RNAcentral.